This 1434-nucleotide ribosomal RNA is filed under the name uncultured Bordetella sp. RNAcentral's name for it is "partial 16S-23S ribosomal RNA intergenic spacer". It matches the Rfam family "Bacterial small subunit ribosomal RNA". Lineage: Bacteria; Pseudomonadati; Pseudomonadota; Betaproteobacteria; Burkholderiales; Alcaligenaceae. The record is from RNAcentral.
AGUCGAACGGCAGCACGGACUUCGGUCGGUGGCGUUGGCGAGCAGGUGAAGUAAUGUAUCCGGAACGUGCCUAGUAGCGGGGGAUAACUACGCGAAAGCGUAGCUAAUACCGCAUACGCCCUUCGGGGGAAAGCGGGGGACCUUCGGGCCUCGCACUAUUAGAGCGGCCGAUAUCGGAUUAGCUAGUUGGUGGGGUAACGGCUCACCAAGGCGACGAUCAGCAGCUGAGUUUGAAGGAGCUGACCAGCCACACUGGGACUGAGACACGGCAGACUCUAGGAGGCAGCAGUGGGGGGUACGGACAAUGGGGAAACCUGAUCCAGCCAUCCCGCGUGUGCGAUGAAGGCCUUCGGGUUGUAAAAGCACUUUUGGCAGGAAAGAAACGGCACGGGAUAAUACCCGUGCAACUGACGGUACCCUGCAGGAAUAUCAGCACCGGCUAACUACGUGCCAGCAGCCGCGGUAAUACGUAGGGUCCAGCAGCGAUUAAUCAGGAAUUACUGGGCGUAAAGAGCCGUGCGCCGGGCGGUUCGGAAGAAGAUGUGAAAUCAGGCUCCACUUUGGAACUACAGUGCAACUACCGAGCUAGAAGAGUGUGUCAGAGGGAGGUGGAAUUCCACCCUGUAGCAGUGAAAUGCGUAGAUAUGCGGAGGAAUACGCGAUAAGAAGGCAACCUCCUGGGAUAACACUGACGCUCAUGCACGAAAGCGUGGGGAGCAAACAGGAUUAGAUACCCUGGUAGUCCACGCCCUAAACGAUGUCAACUAGCUGUUGGGGCCUUCGGGCCUUGGUAGCGCAGCUAACGCGUGAAGUUGACCGCCUGGGAAGUACCCGGUCGCAAGAUUAAAACUCAAAGGAAUUGACGGGGACCCGCACAAGCGGUGGAUGAUGUGGAUUAAUUCGAUGCAACGCGAAAAACCUUACCACACCCUUGACAUGUCUGGAAUCCCGAAGAGAUUUGGGAGUGCUCGCAAGAGAACCGGAACACAGGUGCUGCAUGGCUGUCGUCCAGCUCGUGUCGUGAGAUGUUGGGUUAAGUCCCGCAACGAGCGCAACCCUUGUCAUUAGUUACGCUACGGGCCUCUAAUGAGACUGCCGGUGACAAACCGGAGGAAGGUGGGGAUGACGUCCAGUGUCAUGGCCCUUAUGGGUAGGGCUUCACACGUCAUACAAUGGUCGGGACAGAGGGUCGCCAACCCGCGAGGGAGCCAAUCAGAAACCCGAUCGUAGUCGGAUCGCAGUCCUGCAACUCGACUGCGUGAAGUCGGAAUCGCUAGUAAUCGCGGAUCAGCAUGUCGCGGUGAAUACGUUCCCGGGUCUUGUACACCGCCCGUCACACCAUGGGAGUGGGUUUUACCAGAAGUAGUGCUAACCGUAAGGAGGGCGAUUACCACGGUUAGGAUUCAUGACUGGGGUGAAGUCGUAACAAGGUAG